RNAcentral lists this unclassified non-coding RNA (200 nucleotides) under Chaetothyriales sp. RNAcentral's name for it is "partial internal transcribed spacer 2". Lineage: Eukaryota; Fungi; Ascomycota; Eurotiomycetes; Chaetothyriales. The record is from RNAcentral.
UUAAGUUCAGCGGGUAUCCCUACCUGAUCCGAGGUCAACUUUUAAAAGGCAUGAUGAUUGACCGGGUCUGGAACUCUGACCAAUACGUGCUCCGAAGAAGCUCAGUGUACUGGAGUCUUCACAGACGCCGUCAUUAUCUUUGGGGCGGGCAAUCGAUCUCCGACCACCGUCGUCCAACAACAAGCCGGGCUUGAGGGGUG